CUUCUCUUCUCUAUUCAUUCAGCACAAGCUCGCUGGGGAUUUCACACUUUAUCACCUCGUCUAACGCUCCGCAGAGCACUGGAAAUCGCCGUCUGCAGUAGAGUAAUCCCGUAGUAAUGAGAUUUGAGGUACAUCAAAGUACCGUGCCUUUGAGGGAGGAAAACAGAUCAGAAAAAUAGGACUGAAAUGCAAAUCCUUCACGAAGAUGACCAUGAGUUUUCUACCUCGAGAACACAAUAUGAAAGUGGUGAAUGAGACAGACAGCGAGAAGCUCGUACGAGUGUUUGAGUCCAUGGUUUCAACACCUGGCCCCCACACGCAAACUGUUCUUCAAGCAGAAAUGAAGAAAACUUUCCAGAAUGUACCCCUGCAUGAUAAUCAAAAGAUUGUGAGGAUCAAUGCAGGACAAUUCUUUCACAGCAUGGCCGAAAACAUGAAAUCCAGGACAGCUACAACAACUUCCUCUCAUGUCAGUACACAUGAAAGCUUAUCUCAUAGAGGUGAAAGCAAACUGAUGACAGACUUAAAGGUUCUUCAGCUGGACACUUGGCCUGAGGGAAAUCUGGACAUACAGCAUGCCUCUGCCUCACUAAGCCAAGGAGAUGUGUUGAUGAAAGAUCUACCUGUGGCCAUUCAGUUCAACCCCACAACAUGAUUGUGCCAUUUCUGAAAACCAAUUACUGAAUUCAGUGCCACUUGUCACUACCAAGGCCGCAUUAACCAUUGGGCUAGGAAGGGCUGAAGCCCAGGGGCCUGAGCAAGAAGUAGAUUGACGGACAUCGGUAGUGCCGAUCGCCAAAGCUCCACCACGCUCCUCACUUUUUAGCACUAUUAUUUAGUGAAGUUUUUCCAUAAAUUCCAUGCAUAUCAUCAGAGAUUAAAACGUCACAUUUGAAUUUGGUUUUGAACGACCUGUGCACGUAUCUCCUAUCAGGUAAUCGCUGCGUGUAAUAUCUCUAUUCACCUCUCUUCACUUCUUUCUGGUGUAAUCUAGAAAUGGUCAUGCAAAGAACAAUCUUCGAUAAGUAAAAAUGUCAACUAUUUAAAAAAUAAAUAAAUAGUGAGAGAGGGGAAAGCAUCAGUUAGUCACUAAAAUCCACAGUUUAUUUUACUAAAACUGAUGAUGGAGUGGGAGUUGUGGAACAGCAAAUGGACCGGACAUGUGGAGCAGUUCAAAACAGUGUCAUCGUCCCCACAGAUUUUAGGUUAGUUUGAUUAUUAUCUUGAUGGAUGUAUAUUGCUUUUUGUGUUUGAACAAACUCUAUAGGCUUAGUAGGCUAUAUUCGCUUAUGGGAGAAAUUCCUUUUGCGCAUCAUGAUGUAAGCUUUUCAUUUAAACGCAUUUUAAGCAUUGUGGUUUAAAGACUAAUAUAACUGUUCAGGGACAUUAAGCAGUGGGGCCGAAUUCAUUUUGGAAAAUGCGCG
RNAcentral lists this long non-coding RNA (1424 nucleotides) under Sinocyclocheilus grahami. RNAcentral's name for it is "lncRNA (ENSSGRG00000028932.1)". The record is from RNAcentral. Lineage: Eukaryota; Metazoa; Chordata; Actinopteri; Cypriniformes; Cyprinidae.